UUCACUAUUUACCAUGGCUGUGUCUCAUUUCGCAUUCUUCCGUCAAUACACUGCUAAUGUGCACUGACCACUUACUGCUGUAAUGCCCACUUUCGAUGGUUAGUAUUGUCCCAAAAGGAACACUUAUGUUCAAAAACUUAACGGAAAUGACGAGUCGGCUCGGCUUGCCGCCUCUCAAAAUCUGAUAAAAAUCUAUUAAAUUGACCUUUGUCAAUCAAAAGAGACAGAUUCUGCAACUGUAAGGCCUAUUUCUCGCUUAAAAUGUUUUCAGAAAAACGUUUUGGUGAACUAUUUUCGUAAAAUUUGACAUUGUAUUCUGAACGAACAGCCAUCUGGCCGCCAUUAAGCUUAGUUGUGACAUCCAGGAGAAGCCAGACCCAUGUGAUGCGUUUGUCCAAUCAGCUGCCGGUCAACGCCCCUGGUCCCUCCCCUUUCUGUUUUGUCAAGAUGGAGCAGGUUUAGUGCACAUAGUGUCCAUCGUUC
Long non-coding RNA from Etheostoma spectabile (orangethroat darter), 483 nucleotides. RefSeq lists it as uncharacterized. The transcript is spliced from 3 exons. Lineage: Eukaryota; Metazoa; Chordata; Actinopteri; Perciformes; Percidae. The record is from RefSeq and is a predicted model, not a curated record.